This 202-nucleotide ribosomal RNA is filed under the name Funneliformis sp. RNAcentral's name for it is "partial small subunit ribosomal RNA". It matches the Rfam family "Eukaryotic small subunit ribosomal RNA", at positions 547 to 748 of the family's 1831-position model. The record is from RNAcentral. Lineage: Eukaryota; Fungi; Glomeromycota; Glomeromycetes; Glomerales; Glomeraceae.
UUUGGAGGGCAAGUUUGGUGCCAGCAGCCGCGGUAAUUCCAGCUCCAAUAGGGUAUAUUAAAGUUGUUGCAGUUAAAAAGCUUGUAGUUGAAUUUCGGGAUCAAUAUUUGCGGUGCAUAGCCGUUGGUAUGCACUGGUAUCAUUGAGUUUCUCACCUUCUAAAGAACCGUAAUGCCAUUAAUUUGGGUUACGGGAAUUAGGA